This 500-nucleotide ribosomal RNA is filed under the name uncultured bacterium. RNAcentral's name for it is "partial 16S ribosomal RNA". It matches the Rfam family "Bacterial small subunit ribosomal RNA", at positions 30 to 523 of the family's 1533-position model. The record is from RNAcentral.
AUUGAACGCUGGCGGCAUGCUUUACACAUGCAAGUCGAACGGUAACAGGGUGCUUGCACCGCUGACGAGUGGCGAACGGGUGAGUAAUGCGUCGGAACGUGCCGAGUAGUGGGGGAUAACGCAGCGAAAGUUGUGCUAAUACCGCAUACGUACUGAGGCGGAAAGUGGGGGACCUUCGGGCCUCACGCUAUUCGGACGGCCGACGUCUGAUUAGCUAGUAGGUGAGGUAAAGGCUCACCUAGGCGACGAUCAGUAGCGGGUCUGAGAGGAUGAUCCGCCACACUGGGACUGAGACACGGCCCAGACUCCUACGGGAGGCAGCAGUGGGGAAUUUUGGACAAUGGGCGAAAGCCUGAUCCAGCCAUGCCGCGUGUCUGAAGAAGGCCUUCGGGUUGUAAAGGACUUUUGUCAGGGAGGAAAUCCCUAGUGCUAAUAACACUGGGGGAUGACAGUACCUGAAGAAUAAGCACCGGCUAACUACGUGCCAGCCGCCGCCGUAA